GGAGAUGCAGAUUGGGUUCAUCAAAGAUGAGAAUCAUAUAUAUAUAUGGUUUACAGAGGGCUACAAAUCAGGAACAUUUAUGAUAAAGCUAUUUAAGAUGGGGACAUGAUAAAGAGUUUACCGGUGAAAAAAUAGAUUACAAACACACACGGCACUACUCUGUUACUCAGACUUGUUUGAGACAAUGAUGAAAAGAAUCCGAACUCGUGUUAAACGCCAACAAUUUACAAUAUAGGAAAACCAUAAUCGUUGCAAACA
Molecule: long non-coding RNA, 258 nt
Filed under: Brassica napus (rape)
Lineage: Eukaryota; Viridiplantae; Streptophyta; Magnoliopsida; Brassicales; Brassicaceae
Description: long non-coding RNA (BNAP_LNC015047)
Source: RNAcentral